AGUCGAACGGUAACAGGAAGCAGCUUGCUGCUUUGCUGACGAGUGGCGGACGGGUGAGUAAUGUCUGGGAAACUGCCUGAUGGAGGGGGAUAACUACUGGAAACGGUAGCUAAUACCGCAUAACGUCGCAAGACCAAAGAGGGGGACCUUAGGGCCUCUUGCCAUCGGAUGUGCCCAGAUGGGAUUAGCUAGUAGGUGGGGUAAAGGCUCACCUAGGCGACGAUCCCUAGCUGGUCUGAGAGGAUGACCAGCCACACUGGAACUGAGACACGGUCCAGACUCCUACGGGAGGCAGCAGUGGGGAAUAUUGCACAAUGGGCGCAAGCCUGAUGCAGCCAUGCCGCGUGUAUGAAGAAGGCCUUCGGGUUGUAAAGUACUUUCAGCGGGGAGGAAGGGAGUAAAGUUAAUACCUUUGCUCAUUGACGUUACCCGCAGAAGAAGCACCGGCUAACUCCGUGCCAGCAGCCGCGGUAAUACGGAGGGUGCAAGCGUUAAUCGGAAUUACUGGGCGUAAAGCGCACGCAGGCGGUUUGUUAAGUCAGAUGUGAAAUCCCCGGGCUCAACCUGGGAACUGCAUCUGAUACUGGCAAGCUUGAGUCUCGUAGAGGGGGGUAGAAUUCCAGGUGUAGCGGUGAAAUGCGUAGAGAUCUGGAGGAAUACCGG
This 663-nucleotide ribosomal RNA is filed under the name uncultured Escherichia sp. RNAcentral's name for it is "bacterial SSU rRNA". It matches the Rfam family "Bacterial small subunit ribosomal RNA", at positions 60 to 712 of the family's 1533-position model. Lineage: Bacteria; Pseudomonadati; Pseudomonadota; Gammaproteobacteria; Enterobacterales; Enterobacteriaceae. The record is from RNAcentral.